This 274-nucleotide ribosomal RNA is filed under the name uncultured bacterium. RNAcentral describes it as "partial 16S ribosomal RNA". It matches the Rfam family "Bacterial small subunit ribosomal RNA", at positions 523 to 796 of the family's 1533-position model. The record is from RNAcentral.
AUACGAAAGGUGCAAGCGUUGUUCGGAUUUACUGGGCGUAAAGAGAGUGUAGGUGGUUUAUUAAGUCGGAUGUGAAAUCCCGGGGCUCAACCUCGGAACUGCAUUCGAUACUGAUAGGCUAGAGUUUGGGAGGGGUAAGCGGAAUUCCGUGUGUAGCAGUGAAAUGCGUAGAUAUACGGAGGAACACCUGAGGCGAAGGCGGCUUACUGGACCAAUACUGACACUGAGACUCGAAAGCGUGGGUAGCGAACAGGAUUAGAUACCCUAGUAGUCC